This is a ribosomal RNA of Ochotona princeps (American pika), 123 nucleotides long. The record is from Ensembl. Lineage: Eukaryota; Metazoa; Chordata; Mammalia; Lagomorpha; Ochotonidae.
GUCUAUGGCCAUACCACCCCGAACACACCUGAUCUCUCAAGCUAACCAGGGUUGCGCCUGGUUAGUACUUGGAUGGGAGGAGGCUACAUGGAGGUGACCAGAGGGCCAGGGCAGUUGGAGACA